Molecule: long non-coding RNA, 452 nt
Organism: Cyprinus carpio carpio
Lineage: Eukaryota; Metazoa; Chordata; Actinopteri; Cypriniformes; Cyprinidae
Source: Ensembl
AGUCACCUGGUGACCUCAUUAAGAACCAGGAUGAAUCUGCUGUGAUCAUAUGUACACACAAUUUAUCAAACUAUGACCGUAUUCUUUGAUGAAAAAAGGCCAUCAUGGGCUUCAAGUUCAAGGGGUUUCUUAAUCUCAUAUAUGACAACCCUGAGUUGGAAUUUAAAAACAAGAUCAAACUUGAUGGAGUAAUGUUUCAGUGAUGUAAGUGCUCAGUUUAUGCAGUUCAGUAAAGCUGACGAGAACAAUAAAAAGUAAAAUAAGUUCAAGUUCUGUUGUUAAUGGCAGUGUUAAUCAAAGCCCCUCAAAUCUAAUUAAAUCUGAGAGAGACAAUGCAGAACUUGUAUGCGAAUACAACAUACCAUCUUACACUAGGAUUUUCUGGUACAAACAAACACUUGGCCAUGACUUCAUAUUCCUUGGAUAUAUCUGGAAUAAGAAUUCUUACCCAG